GAUGAAGAACGCAGCGAAAUGCGAUAAGUAAUGUGAAUUGCAGAAUUCAGUGAAUCAUCGAAUCUUUGAACGCACAUUGCGCCCGCCAGUAUUCUGGCGGGCAUGCCUGUCCGAGCGUCAUUUCAACCCUCAAGCCCCCGGGCUUGGUGUUGGAGAUCGGCGAGCCCCCCGGGGCGCGCCGUCUCCCAAAUAUAGUGGCGGUCCCGCUGUAGCUUCCUCUGCGUAGUAGCACACCUCGCACUGGGAAACAGCGUGGCCACGCCGUAAAACCCCCCACUUCUGAAAGGUUGACCUCGGAUCAGGUAGGAAUACCGCUGAACUUAAGCAUAUCAAUAAGCGGAGGA
This 344-nucleotide unclassified non-coding RNA is filed under the name soil metagenome. Its description in RNAcentral is "partial contains 5.8S ribosomal RNA, internal transcribed spacer 2, and large subunit ribosomal RNA". The stretch from base 1 to 120 matches the Rfam family "5.8S ribosomal RNA", at positions 35 to 154 of the family's 154-position model. The record is from RNAcentral.